GCUUUUAUUAAUAUAAAUUUGUAGAUUUGAAAUUUUUUCAAAAUUCUCUUUGUGCUACUGUCUAAACUAAACAAUAUAGGAAAAUUAUAAUAGAGCAGAAACAUCGCAUAUAAGCCUAAUUUUGACAUUGGAUAUAGAAAUAGAAGGAAGAGAAUUGUGAGUCAUUUUAUUGGCCUUAUAUUAAUAUUCAGUGAGCCAGAUGCAAUAGAAACAUGGAGAAAAUAUAUAAAAAAGAGAAUUCCAGCCAGGUGUGUGAGCCACCAUACCCGGCCACAAAUUUAUAUUUUAAAAGUUUGUAUAACAUAAAAUGUGUAAAACCGUUAAAUAAAGGAAAUAUUAAAAUCUUUUUUGAAGAAAACAAAAUUAAUUUUUAUACGUGGAAUAUGUGUCCCUUCACGAAGAAUGGUAUUUUAUAUAAGUUUAAGGUAACUUUCAAUGCAAUUUUGUUACAAAGUUACAGAAAGAUGCA
Long non-coding RNA from Homo sapiens (human), 469 nucleotides. The record is from Ensembl. NCBI's taxonomy places the organism in Eukaryota, Metazoa, Chordata, Mammalia, Primates, Hominidae.